RNAcentral lists this long non-coding RNA (1018 nucleotides) under Mastacembelus armatus (zig-zag eel). RNAcentral describes it as "lncRNA (ENSMAMG00000027474.1)". The record is from RNAcentral. Lineage: Eukaryota; Metazoa; Chordata; Actinopteri; Synbranchiformes; Mastacembelidae.
UUUUUAUUUUGCUCAGAUCAAAUACAUUGAGCUGACAGCAAAAAUAGGCACCAUGUUCAGGUAAGAAAACUAAAUAUCUCCUCAAAGAGUUUCUUGCUGAUUGCAGCUAGCCAGGGUUUUAAUCCCUCAUAUAUUUGCAUAGGUUGCUGCUUUGACUAGGCAAGAAUUGGUUGUGUAAUGUCUUGAAAGUUAGAUAUUAAGCCUAAGUCUUUUCACUUUUAGGUUUUCUCUGAUAGUCUGUAUUUCUCUGAUAUUUGCUAUCACAGCAAAGCCAUAUAAACCCUGGAAUAAACUUAGAGAUGAAGCAUUCCAGGAUACAAUUAUGUCCAUAGAUGACAAAGAAAUGAAGUCCUGGGGGGUUGAAGUGGAGCCCCCAGAGCACAUGGAUGAGACUGACUAUGAUGUUGACCCUAGCAUGAAGAUUUGGAAGAGUAUGGCAGGCAAUGGACUGGACAAGCAGCACCUGAAGGCCAAAGAAGAGAUGUACCACCUUUCACUGGUUGAUAUCCCUAAAGAUCAAAUCCAAAACCUGGACACCCUCCCUGCUGACGACGCCCAAGAUAAGAACUCAGAGGAAGAAUCCAAGUAUCAGGAAGCUGAGGAGGAUAAAGAUGACAUCGACCACCCGGUUUUCGUUAAGGUGAUCUCAGAUGAACCUGAGCAGGACUGGGAUGAAAUCUACCACAAGGCGAGGGAGCAAAUAAAUAUAUAUCUGGCCCCACUAGUGGCCAAAUACAAAGAUGGCACAGAGAUCCGUGCUUCAUACUCUGAACCAGAGAAGGAUGAGGACUACCUGUAUCAUCAUGAUGACCAGAGCUCACUUGUGCAGGUGGAACCGCUGAGACGUGAGGUCAGAGUUCACAUUCAGCCAGAAGAGGACAUGGACGUUCUGUACCACAAAGACCCACAGCUUGUCCCUUACCAAGAUGAUGCUAAAGCUGCUGCUCCUGUUGAACUGCCAUCUCAAAGGAAGUACAGCGAACCAGAGGAAGAUCUGGAUCAUUUUGACCACCACUAA